UAGAGUUUGAUCCUGGCUCAGGAUGAACGCUGGCGGCGUGCUUAACACAUGCAAGUCGAACGAUUAAAGCCCUCUUCGGAGGGUGUAUAAAGUGGCGAACGGGUGAGUAACACGUGGGCAAUCUGCCCUCCACACCGGGAUAACCCUUGGAAACGAGAGCUAAUACCGGAUACUCCGUCUGGACCGCAUGGUCUGGUCGGGAAAGCUACGACGGUGGAGGAUGAGCCCGCGGCCCAUUAGCUUGUUGGUGAGGUAACGGCUCACCAAGGCGACGAUGGGUAGCCGAGCUGAGAGGCUGAUCGGCCACACUGGGACUGAGACACGGCCCAGACUCCUACGGGAGGCAGCAGUGGGGAAUCUUGCGCAAUGGGCGAAAGCCUGACGCAGCAACGCCGCGUGCGGGACGAAGGCCUUCGGGUCGUAAACCGCUUUCAGCAGGGACGAAAAUGACUGUACCUGCAGAAGAAGCUCCGGCUAACUACGUGCCAGCAGCCGCGGUAAUA
RNAcentral lists this ribosomal RNA (503 nucleotides) under uncultured bacterium. RNAcentral's name for it is "bacterial SSU rRNA". It matches the Rfam family "Bacterial small subunit ribosomal RNA", at positions 1 to 525 of the family's 1533-position model. The record is from RNAcentral.